UAUAGGUUGUUGCAAAAGUAAUUGUGGUUUUUGCCAUUGAGAGUAAUGGCAAAAACUACAGUCACUUUUGCACCAACCUAAUAAA
Molecule: microRNA precursor, 85 nt
Filed under: Chlorocebus sabaeus (green monkey)
Lineage: Eukaryota; Metazoa; Chordata; Mammalia; Primates; Cercopithecidae
Description: miRNA (ENSCSAG00000026406.1)
Source: RNAcentral